UGGGGAAUAUUGCACAAUGGGGGAAACCCUGAUGCAGCGACGCCGCGUGGAGGAAGAAGGUCUUCGGAUUGUAAACUCCUGUUGUUGAGGAAGAUAAUGACGGUACUCAACAAGGAAGUGACGGCUAACUACGUGCCAGCAGCCGCGGUAAAACGUAGGUCACAAGCGUUGUCCGGAAUUACUGGGUGUAAAGGGAGCGCAGGCGGGAAGACAAGUUGGAAGUGAAAUCUAUGGGCUCAACCCAUAAACUGCUUUCAAAACUGUUUUUCUUGAGUAGUGCAGAGGUAGGCGGAAUUCCCGGUGUAGCGGUGGAAUGCGUAGAUAUCGGGAGGAACACCAGUGGCGAAGGCGGCCUACUGGGCACCAACUGACGCUGAGGCUCGAA
Molecule: ribosomal RNA, 385 nt
Filed under: uncultured bacterium
Lineage: Bacteria
Description: bacterial SSU rRNA
Rfam family: Bacterial small subunit ribosomal RNA
Source: RNAcentral